CCUAUAAUGGCGUUGAAUUCCAAAAAAGUGACAGGCGUUAAUCUGACGGCUAGCGAAUGCCAUUUCAGGUGUCAGCGGCAGAAAAGACAUCAGGCAAUUUGUUCAAUAUGGUUGGGGGCCGGAAGGGGUGGGCCAAGGGUGGACCAGAGCAGGCCCAAGGGGGUGACCCUCUUGUGACAACACCGCACUCCACCAGCAAGGAUGCAUGAUUUUGCUCCUCGUAUUUUGAUCAGGGUCUACUGUUGCGAGGUCAUCCUGCAUGCGCAGUUGUAGCUUAAGCGACCAGUUAUCUGUCAAUCACAUCGGCACUGUGCACAUUGGCAAUUCAAUUGCCGCAAUUGUUUUGCAGGACAAUAUAGUUUUAGAACAGCCUGUGAUCUGAGAUGGGAUUCGCAUUCUGCCAAACUUGAACCGUUAGCUACCGACUACCCAUCAUUUGCUUGGUCUGGCGUAUUCUAGCUUCCAGUGCAAUGCUGAUACGGUAUCAGUUACUAAUCAUAAUAUCAAAUUUA
RNAcentral lists this long non-coding RNA (512 nucleotides) under Coccomyxa subellipsoidea. RNAcentral's name for it is "long non-coding RNA (CSUB_LNC000509)". The record is from RNAcentral. Lineage: Eukaryota; Viridiplantae; Chlorophyta; Trebouxiophyceae; Coccomyxaceae.